GAUGAAGAACGUAGCGAAAUGCGAUAAGUAAUGUGAAUUGCAGAAUUCAGUGAAUCAUCGAAUCUUUGAACGCACAUUGCGCCCGUCAGUAUUCUGGCGGGAAUGCCUGUUCGAGCGUCAUUACGCCCCUCAAGUCCCCUGUGGACUUGGUGUUGGGGAUCGGCGAGGCUGGUUUUCCAGCACAGCCGUCCCUUAAAUUAAUUGGCGGUCUCGCCGUGGCCCUCCUCUGCGCAGUAGUAAAACACUCGCAACAGGAGCCCGGCGCGGUCCACUGCCGUAAAACCCCCCAACUUUUUAUAGUUGACCUCGAAUCAGGUAGGACUACCCGCUGAACUUAAGCAUAUCAAUAAGCGGAGGA
Molecule: unclassified non-coding RNA, 358 nt
Filed under: soil metagenome
Description: partial contains 5.8S ribosomal RNA, internal transcribed spacer 2, and large subunit ribosomal RNA
Rfam family: 5.8S ribosomal RNA (bases 1-120)
Source: RNAcentral